Molecule: ribosomal RNA, 484 nt
Filed under: uncultured bacterium
Lineage: Bacteria
Description: partial 16S ribosomal RNA
Rfam family: Bacterial small subunit ribosomal RNA
Source: RNAcentral
AUUGAACGCUGGCGGCAGGCCUAACACAUGCAAGUCGAGCGGAUGAAGGGAGCUUGCUCCUGGAUUCAGCGGCGGACGGGUGAGUAAUGCCUAGGAAUCUGCCUGGUAGUGGGGGAUAACGUCCGGAAACGGGCGCUAAUACCGCAUACGUCCUGAGGGAGAAAGUGGGGGAUCUUCGGACCUCACGCUAUCAGAUGAGCCUAGGUCGGAUUAGUUAGUUGGUGGGGUAAAGGCCUACCAAGGCGACGAUCCGUAACUGGUCUGAGAGGAUGAUCAGUCACACUGGAACUGAGACACGGUCCAGACUCCUACGGGAGGCAGCAGUGGGGAAUAUUGGACAAUGGGCGAAAGCCUGAUCCAGCCAUGCCGCGUGUGUGAAGAAGGUCUUCGGAUUGUAAAGCACUUUAAGUUGGGAGGAAGGGCAGUAAGUUAAUACCUUGCUGUUUCGACGUUACCAACAGAAUAAGCACCGGCUAACUUCGUG